CGAGUUUAUCAUGGAGUUUUCGCCCGUGGCCACCACACAAGCUAAGGACCUACGUGUUUUCUCAACAUCGGUACUUGUUCCUCCAAUUAGUCAGUCUUAAUUAUUAUGCGUAAUUAGUCUGCCUGGACCUGGUGCCUGGACGGCUGCUGUUCCACCAACUGCACAAACCACUGUUAUUCCGCCUGGCUUCCCAGUCUCAAGAUGACAGUCGUGCACAGUGAAUCCUCUCAGCGUCGAGCCUUCUGAAAGUCCCGAACUUUACCAAACUGCCAGGCUCACAGCUUUUACUGAAAAUCACAUGUCUGCUGGUAAAGGUCCGGACACAGCCAGGCGCGGCGCUCUUACUCUACCUUAAAGGCUUUGUCACAGAUCCAGGUCAUGGGUUUUGUUUUGCUGACGGACGAUCAGUUUCUGUUUGGUAUUUUUUUCCUCUCUGGUGAUCAGCGCUUUAGUAUUUUUUCCCAGAUUUCCCUCAGCUGACCGUGUUUGACUGGAUAUUGUUUCAUUAACAUUAAGCUUUGAAACGAAUUCUCAACUGUAACCUUACGAACUUCCUGCAGUAAAUGUUGCAAUGGGCGCGAUACCCAGGGGAAAUUAGGGGAUUCACAGAAGACCGGGGGGGUUUACCUGACAAUAAAACAAUAAAAAUACCCCACAGUGAAGCUAUGCAGCUGUUAUUACUGCAGGAAAAAACACAGAUCAACAUAACUGUCAAGAAUCACCUUAUUCUCUAAGAUCAGUGAUGUUUAUAUGGCGCCAUGCUCCUCCUGAUUAUUCUAUCCAGUCCUUUUUCAUGUAUUUCUACUCUGUUCAAACUCAUGAUCUCAUGUUUCAAGCAACACGUGAUGAUGAAGCUGCACUGGUGUCAUUUUGUGCUGCAUCGACUGCUUUAUUAGUUUCAGUUGCGAGAGAAGCUACCGAAUCAAACCAAACUGCUAAGUAAACCCAACAGAGGCUCUUCUUCCUCAGGAAGCUAAAACAGACCAGACUUUCUGAGCUGCUUUUGAACUUCUACAGAGCAACAACAGAAAGCAUCCUCUGUCUUAGUAUGAAAGUGUACAGCAGCUGCACCACGAGACAGAAAGACUUUGGCCCAGGUGGUGAGAACAGCACUGGGGAUUGUUCAAAGUCAACUUCAACAGCUGGACUCGCUGGACGGAUCCAAAAAAAGGCCACAUGUAUCGCUGCAGACCCCACCCACCCUGGAAAUGGACUCUUUAUACACCACCAGACUGAGAGACAGCUUCUUGAUCAGAGCUGUGAAAUCCAUUUC
Molecule: long non-coding RNA, 1273 nt
Organism: Astatotilapia calliptera (eastern happy)
Lineage: Eukaryota; Metazoa; Chordata; Actinopteri; Cichliformes; Cichlidae
Source: Ensembl